GCCUGGGUGGCUCAGUCGGUUGAGCGUCUGACUUCAGCUCAGGUCAUGAUCUCACGAUUCGUAAGUUCGAGCCCCGUGUCAGGCU
This is a non-coding RNA of Felis catus (domestic cat), 85 nucleotides long. Lineage: Eukaryota; Metazoa; Chordata; Mammalia; Carnivora; Felidae. The record is from Rfam.